This 2362-nucleotide long non-coding RNA is filed under the name Amborella trichopoda. RNAcentral's name for it is "long non-coding RNA (ATRI_LNC005179)". The record is from RNAcentral. Lineage: Eukaryota; Viridiplantae; Streptophyta; Magnoliopsida; Amborellales; Amborellaceae.
AAGGAUCAACCGGUGAAGAUGAAAAGAAUUUCAUCAAAGAAGCUGCAUAAUCUCUAAGGUAGCAUCAUUUCUCUUUUUGCCCAAACAAUGAGAAUCAAGAAUUUUAUUAGCUUUAAGCCUUCUAAUAGAGCUCUUCCAUCUUAAGGGGGCUUGGAUUCCCAUUCAAGCUUCUAUCGAAGUUUAGCACAUCUCUCUCUCUCAUGAAAAGGAUAACCAAAUGGUGAAAUUAAAACGUAGGUUUUUACUGAUAUAUUAACCAAUUAAAAAUAAUGAGUCAUUUGAAAUGAAAGAGUCAUGUAAAUAUAAAAAUACACCUUCUCUUCCCGAAUGAUUCACCCAAAAAAAAAGAGAAAACUUCUCUCUCAUUAAACCGAACCGAAUAUGGGUGCUUGAGGUGUAAGCUCGCAUCAGCACGUGAGUUGCCCAUACGCAAGGCUAUGGCUGUUGGACACCACUCAAAAAUAUAAACCUAACUAAUAGGUUUGGAUAUUUGCAGCAGCUAAGCUAUAAAAAAAUAUAUUGUUUUAAAAUACGAUAACCUCAUUGUAUGAAAUUCAUUUUAGAAUUCAAAGGCAUAUACUUUUGAUACGAAAAUUCCAUAAAAUCCUUAUGAGCUGCCCUGCCCUGCCCUCUAACCAUGUGAAAUUAAAAAGAAUGUCAAACUAACCAUGUGAAAUGAGAGAGGAAAGAGAAAUCGUAGAGAAAGAGAGGAAAAAGAGAAAAUGAAAGGGCCAACCUUGAACGUUGAGCCCAAAGCAACAUGCCAUGAAACUUUGAAAAAAGUGAAUGAAACAUUCAUCCUGUUUUGCCUGAGCUUUCUUCAUCAUCUUUAAUGAACAUCCCCACGCCCUUUUCUCUCUCUCUAUACCCUUUGCUUCCCCACAUCAAAACACAAAGAAACAACUGUUCCUUUGUUCCCUCAAGUUUGAGUGCUCAUGUUCCCUAAGCUUGAGGGAUCAAAUUAAUAAUCAAAAGAAAUAUAUUAACAUAUAUAAAUAUCUUAUAUUAUAUAAUAUUUAUAAUAAUAGAUAUAUACAUAUCUUAUAUUAUAUCAUAAUAAAUAUUAUAUUAUAUGUUAUAUAUAGUACAAAUAUAGGUUAAUAAAAUAUAUAAAAUACAUUUUAUUAUAUAUAUUAUAUAUUUAUAUUUACAUUGUUCAUAUAUAUAAUAUUAUUGUAUUAAAUAUAUAAUAUAUAAUAUUAUUAUAUAUGAUAUAUAUAUUUAUUAUAUUAUAAGCAAAUUAGUAACACAACUUUUUUAGAUAAUAUUAUUACUUUUGAGAUAAAAAAUAUAAAUAUUAUAAUUACUAAUUAUAUACAUCAUAUAUAUUUAUUAUAUUAUAAGCAAAUUAGUAACCCAACUUUUUUAGAUAAUAUUAUUACUUUUGAGAUAAAAAAUAUAAAUAUUAUAAUUACUAAUUAUAUAUAUGAUAUAUAUUUAUGGGAAAAUUGCUUUCUAAUAUAUUGCAUGACUCAAUAGAACAUAAAAUAACUAAAUAUACAAAUAUUAUAUAAUAUUGCAUAAAUAUUAAAAUAAUAACAAUACAUGAUAUAAUAAAUCUAUACUAUAUAGGAUUAUAUUGAAUCAGCAGAAGUAUUUCAAAUACUGUCUAUAUGUUUAUUAUAUUUGAAUCAUACUACAAAAUUAAUUGUAAUAAAAUAUUAUAUCUUAUUACUUACGCAAAAUAAUUAUAACUAUUUAAAAUUAUAACUAAAAAUUAUAGCUCUCUCCAAAAUUAGCACGCACAAAUUUUAGGAGGCAGCUCCUAAAAUUAGAAUGCACAAACUUUAGGGGGCUUCUUGUAGCGCCUAAGACAUCUAUUGGAAUAGAGGAAUAGAUUAUCAUAAAGGAAGAUGUAAUUUUUAUUUAAAAUUAAAAAGAACAUACCCAUUUAAGAAAGAUAAAUAUUCAAUUAUCUCUCUCUCUUUGAUUUUCUCUCUAUCUCAUUCUCUCAUGUACUCAUAUCUCUCUCUUCCCAAAAUAUGGAAAUCUAUUUUUAUCCUCGAUUUUUUCUAUCUAUCUUUAUAUUAUAAUUUCCUCCCUGUGUACUCUCUCCCUUUCUCCAUAUUCUCCUCGCAGCAGGGGCCUUUGGAAGAUGAUUUUCCUCCCUAUUCAAUAUCUUUUUGGUGCCAUCACUUUCUUAUACUUCAUUCCCAUUCUAUUUUCCAAUCGUCCUCCUAGGUUGCUUCAUCUCCUCCUCUCCCUUUUCACUGCUCAAAGACUCUGCUCUCCAAAAGGUGCUGAGAAAUUUUCGGAUGCGGCGAACAAGAGUGAAGGGGUAAACAGAACCCUCAGAAAGAAAAAAAGUGUAACGGAAAUCGGAGCGAUGAACCGCUGAGGCCAAGGCUGGUUUGGAAGAUGA